UUAAUUAGUCUCUGCACUGGAAACCUCACCCAGCCUGGACAUGGAAAGGAUUGACAGGUUGUGAGCUGUUUCUUGGUGUUGUGAGUAGUGGUAUAUGAGCAUUCUUAGUUGGUGGAGAGAUUUGUCUGGUUAAUUCUUAAUGUGAAAUAGACUCUGGCAUGCUAAUCAGUUACUUCUGUCUUACUCUUGUCUAUAAAAGCAGAUUUCAGUUGGAAUUCAGCAGCUUGGCCCACUCCAAAUGCUUGAUGCCUUGGGUGCC
Molecule: non-coding RNA, 259 nt
Filed under: Monodelphis domestica (gray short-tailed opossum)
Lineage: Eukaryota; Metazoa; Chordata; Mammalia; Didelphimorphia; Didelphidae
Description: Eukaryotic small subunit ribosomal RNA
Rfam family: Eukaryotic small subunit ribosomal RNA
Source: Rfam by way of RNAcentral